This 97-nucleotide non-coding RNA is filed under the name unclassified sequences. RNAcentral describes it as "PhotoRC-II RNA". It matches the Rfam family "PhotoRC-II RNA". The record is from RNAcentral.
UAACGUUUCUUAAGACUCCCGUUAACCGAGACCUAUGGGAGGAUAAAUUACGUCUCUCAUACCCACACUGGAGGGUGGUGUGGGAAUAAUGUAUCAU